RNAcentral lists this ribosomal RNA (749 nucleotides) under Eimeria sp. ex Apodemus flavicollis. Its description in RNAcentral is "SSU rRNA". It matches the Rfam family "Eukaryotic small subunit ribosomal RNA", at positions 283 to 1034 of the family's 1831-position model. The record is from RNAcentral. Lineage: Eukaryota; Apicomplexa; Conoidasida; Eucoccidiorida; Eimeriidae.
GCCCGCGAUAUAUCUUUCAAGUUUCUGACCUAUCAGCUUUCGACGGUAGGGUAUUGGCCUACCGUGGCAGUGACGGGUAACGGGGAAUUAGGGUUCGAUUCCGGAGAGGGAGCCUGAGAAACGGCUACCACAUCUAAGGAAGGCAGCAGGCGCGCAAAUUACCCAAUGAAAACAGCUUCGAGGUAGUGACGAGAAAUAACAAUACAGGGCAUUUUAUGUUCUGUAAUUGGAAUGAUGGGAAUGUAAAACCCUUUCAGAGUAACAAUUGGAGGGCAAGUCUGGUGCCAGCAGCCGCGGUAAUUCCAGCUCCAAUAGUGUAUAUUAGAGUUGUUGCAGUUAAAAAGCUCGUAGUUGGAUUUCUGUCGUGGUCAUCCGGUUCCGCCCGUAUGGGUGUGCGCCUGGUUUGCCCUCGGCUUUCUUCCGUUAGCCUUCGGCGCUUCAUUGCGUCUGUUGGUGUUUCGGAACUUUUACUUUGAGAAAAAUAGAGUGUUUCAAGCAGGCUUGUCGCCCUGAAUACUGCAGCAUGGAAUAAUAAGAUAGGACCUUGGUUCUAUUUUGUUGGUUUCUAGGACUAAGGUAAUGAUUAAUAGGGACAGUUGGGGGCAUUCGUAUUUAACUGUCAGAGGUGAAAUUCUUAGAUUUGUUAAAGACGAACUACUGCGAAAGCAUUUGCCAAGGAUGUUUUCAUUAAUCAAGAACGACAGUAGGGGGUUUGAAGACGAUUAGAUACCGUCGUAAUCUCUACCAUA